RNAcentral lists this ribosomal RNA (497 nucleotides) under uncultured bacterium. RNAcentral's name for it is "partial 16S ribosomal RNA". It matches the Rfam family "Bacterial small subunit ribosomal RNA", at positions 28 to 507 of the family's 1533-position model. The record is from RNAcentral.
GAUGAACGCUGGCGGCGUGCCUAAUACAUGCAAGUCGAGCGAACGGACGAGAAGCUUGCUUCUCUGAUGUUAGCGGCGGACGGGUGAGUAACACGUGGAUAACCUACCUAUAAGACUGGGAUAACUUCGGGAAACCGGAGCUAAUACCGGAUAAUAUUUUGAACCGCAUGGUUCAAAAGUGAAAGACGGUCUUGCUGUCACUUAUAGAUGGAUCCGCGCUGCGUUAGCUAGUUGGUAAGGUAACGGCUUACCAAGGCAACGAUGCAUAGCCGACUUGAGAGGGUGAUCGGCCACACUGGAACUGAGACACGGUCCAGACUCCUACGGGAGGCAGCAGUAGGGAAUCUUCCGCAAUGGGCGAAAGCCUGACGGAGCAACGCCGCGUGAGUGAUGAAGGUCUUCGGAUCGUAAAACUCUGUUAUUAGGGAAGAACAGAUGUGUAAGUAACUGUGCACAUCUUGACGGUACCUAAUCAGAAAGCCACGGCUAACUACGUG